Molecule: ribosomal RNA, 497 nt
Filed under: uncultured bacterium
Lineage: Bacteria
Description: partial 16S ribosomal RNA
Rfam family: Bacterial small subunit ribosomal RNA
Source: RNAcentral
GAUGAACGCUGGCGGCGUGCCUAAUACAUGCAAGUCGAGCGGACGGACAGGAAGAUUGCUUCUCUGCUGUUAGCGGCGGACGGGUGCGUAACAAGUGGAUAACCUACAAAUAUGACUGGGAUAAUUACGGGAAAAAGGAGAUAAUACCAGAUAAUAUCUUCAACGGUUUGGAUCCAAAGUGACAGACACUUUUGAUGUUACCAAUAGUUGGAUUCGCGUUGCAUUAGCUAGUUGGUAAGGUAACGGCUGACCAAGGCAACGAUGCAUAGCCGACCUGAGAGGAUGGUCAGCCACACUGGAACUGAGACACGGUCCAGACUCCGACGGGAUGCAGCAGUAGGGAAUCUUGCGCAAUGGGCGAAAGCCUGAUGUAGCAACACCGCGUGAGUGAAGAAGGUCUUCGGUUCGUAAAUCCCUGUUAUUGGGGAAGAACAUGGGUAUAAGUAUAUCAACACAUUGUGACGGUACCUAAACAGAAAGCCCCGGCUAACUGCGUG